AUGACUCCGAAGAAAAAACUUUGUUGGGCGAGGUGGGCUAAGAAGGCUAGGAAAGAAAGUCAUAGGAAAGAGAGGCUGAAGCCCAUCUCAGUCAGUUCACUGGGCUACAGCCCGUGGUCUAUUGCAGAGCCUUAUCCGCCACGUCACGGCCUACCCAGUCAACGCCUAGGCUUGACUUUCCCCGCACCGCCAGCGCGCAGCGCGCCAUCCCGACCGCCCGAACCGCCACGCGUCGCGAUCCGACGGCCCUCCACCGCCGUGCGUGACGUAGCUCCAGGCGAGAGAGCAGAGUGGGGAGUGAGAUCAUCAGUUGGCAGUGCCAGCCGCGGAUUACGCAUCUCACGCGGCGCCGCCACACACCACACCGCGAUGGCCGAUCUCCACCUCCUCCACCCGCCGGAGCCCGACACCAACGGCGGCGCUGCCGCCGCCCCCGCCUCCGCCGCCGCGCUGCUGCUCCCCGGCGACCCCGCGGCCGAGGCGGCGGCCGCGGCCGCGGCGGACCCCCCCGCCCCGCCCUACUCCAAGCGCCGCCGCCGCCCCAGCGUCCGCCUCGGCGACAUUGGCGCGCAGGCCACGGCCUCCGACGCGCAGCUCCCGCGCCGCCACCGCAAGCCGUCGUCGCACCCGCGCCCGCCGCGCCGGUCCCACCCGGACGACGCCCUCGACCCCAACGCCCGCGCCCGCGGGCCCAAGCCCGGCCAGCGCCGCCCGCGCACGGCCUGGAUCCCGGCUCCCCACGGCGGCGCCGACGGCUACGAGGACGAGGAGGGCCACCACCACUACUACGACGACGCCGACCAGUCCGACUCCGCCGCCGCCGCCGCCAGGGCCGCUAGGGUUUCGGGCAGCCGCGAGGCCAGCGUCGAUGAGUCUGACGGCGUCGCCGACUGGGGCCUCCCCAACGGCGGCGCGGCCUGCUACGGCGGCGGCGGCGGCGUCAGGGCCUGGCUCGACGGGCUCGGCCUCUCCCGGUACGCCCCCGUGUUCGAGAUCCACGAGGUGGACGACGAGGUGCUCCCGCUGCUCACCCUGGAGGACCUCAAGGACAUGGGCAUCGGCGCCGUCGGCUCCAGGAGGAAGAUGUUCGCCGCCAUCCAGAAGCUCCGCAGCACCGACACCGUGUCCUGA
RNAcentral lists this ribosomal RNA (1131 nucleotides) under Triticum aestivum (bread wheat). RNAcentral describes it as "partial small subunit ribosomal RNA". The record is from RNAcentral. Lineage: Eukaryota; Viridiplantae; Streptophyta; Magnoliopsida; Poales; Poaceae.